UUUCGGGAAUGGAAGCGAAAUGAAAGUGGCGAACGGGUGAGUAACACGUGAGCAACCUACCUUACACAGAGGGAUAGCCGUUGGAAACGACGAUUAAUACCGCAUGAGACCACAGAAUCGCAUGAUAUAGGGGUCAAAGAUUUAUCGGUGUAAGAAGGGCUCGCGUCUGAUUAGCUAGUUGGAAGGGUAAAGGCCUACCAAGGCGACGAUCAGUAGCCGGUCUGAGAGGAUGAACGGCCACAUUGGAACUGAGACACGGUCCAAACUCCUACGGGAGGCAGCAGUGGGGAAUAUUGCACAAUGGGGGGAACCCUGAUGCAGCGACGCCGCGUGAGCGAAGAAGGUUUUCGAAUCGUAAAGCUCUGUCCUAUGAGAAGAUAAUGACGGUAUCAUAGGAGGAAGCCCCGGCUAAAUACGUGCCAGCAGCCGCGGUAAUACGUAUGGGGCGAGCGUUGUCCGGAAUUAUUGGGCGUAAAGGGUACGUAGGCGGUUUUUUAAGUCAGGUGUGAAAGCGUGAGGCUUAACCUCAUUAAGCACUUGAAACUGGAAGACUUGAGUGAAGGAGAGGAAAGUGGAAUUCCUAGUGUAGCGGUGAAAUGCGUAGAUAUUAGGAGGAAUACCGGUGGCGAAGGCGACUUUCUGG
Molecule: ribosomal RNA, 643 nt
Filed under: uncultured Clostridium sp.
Lineage: Bacteria; Bacillati; Bacillota; Clostridia; Eubacteriales; Clostridiaceae
Description: bacterial SSU rRNA
Rfam family: Bacterial small subunit ribosomal RNA
Source: RNAcentral